UACAUGCAAGUCGAGCGCCCCGCAAGGGGAGCGGCAGACGGGUGAGUANCGCGUGGGAAUCUACCCAUCCCUACGGAACAACUCCGGGAAACUGGAGCUAAUACCGUAUACGCCCUUUGGGGGAAAGAUUUAUCGGGGAUGGAUGAGCCCGCGUUGGAUUAGCUAGUUGGUGGGGUAAAGGCCUACCAAGGCGACGAUCCAUAGCUGGUCUGAGAGGAUGAUCAGCCACAUUGGGACUGAGACACGGCCCAAACUCCUACGG
RNAcentral lists this ribosomal RNA (262 nucleotides) under Rhizobium sp. CIAM1141. Its description in RNAcentral is "partial 16S ribosomal RNA". It matches the Rfam family "Bacterial small subunit ribosomal RNA", at positions 52 to 344 of the family's 1533-position model. The record is from RNAcentral. Lineage: Bacteria; Pseudomonadati; Pseudomonadota; Alphaproteobacteria; Hyphomicrobiales; Rhizobiaceae.